This is a transfer RNA of Loxodonta africana (African savanna elephant), 71 nucleotides long. It matches the Rfam family "tRNA". From Rfam's summary of the family: Transfer RNA (tRNA) molecules are approximately 80 nucleotides in length. Their secondary structure includes four short double-helical elements and three loops (D, anti-codon, and T loops). The record is from Rfam. NCBI's taxonomy places the organism in Eukaryota, Metazoa, Chordata, Mammalia, Proboscidea, Elephantidae.
GCAAUGGUGGUUUAGUGGUAGAAUUCUUGCCUUUCAUGCUGGAGAACUGGAUUUGAUUCCUGGCCAGUGUA